Molecule: long non-coding RNA, 698 nt
Filed under: Homo sapiens (human)
Lineage: Eukaryota; Metazoa; Chordata; Mammalia; Primates; Hominidae
Description: non-protein coding lnc-RPRML-3:21
Source: RNAcentral
GGGGCCAGGCAGCCGUUAGACAGCACAACCGAACCCAACACCGGGGCCCAACGGCAGGGGCUUGGGCAGGAGCAAGGUCCGAGGGCUGCCAGGUCCACGCUGCUUUUAUGAGCUGUAACACUCACCGCGAAGAUCUGCAGCUUCACUCCUGAGCCCAGCGAGACCACGAGCCCACCGGGAGGAACAAACAACUCCAGACGCGCUGCCUUAAGAGCUGUAACACUUGCCGUGAAGGUCUGCAGCUUCACUCCUGAGCCAGCGAGACCACGAACCCACCAGAAGGAAGAAACUCCGAACACAUCUCAACAUCAGAACGGACAGACUCCAGACGCACCACCUUAAGAGCUGUAACACUCACCGCGAGGUUCCGCGGCUUCAUUCUUGAAGUCAGUAAGACCAAGAACCCACCAAUUCCGGACACAGUAGCAUUUGGGAAUAAUAAGAAUUGUAGCUGGGCAUGGUGGUACACGCCUGUAGACCCCUAGCAGCUGCCAUCAUCCUCACCAUCCGCAUAUUAUUGAUAUAUUAACUCUUUGAUGGCAACCAUAGCUUAUCCCCCUUAUCUCCCUAUGCCCUACAGCAGGGCAGUGGAAUGGUUAAGAGGCUUUGAAGUCUAAGAGUGCUGGCUUAAAACCCUAAUUUGUCAUUUUGGAUGUGUGGCUUUGGACACUUGGGGCAGGUCACCUAUGUUCUUCAAG